This 253-nucleotide ribosomal RNA is filed under the name uncultured bacterium. RNAcentral's name for it is "partial 16S ribosomal RNA". It matches the Rfam family "Bacterial small subunit ribosomal RNA", at positions 524 to 776 of the family's 1533-position model. The record is from RNAcentral.
UACAGAGGUCCCAAGCGUUGUUCGGAUUCACUGGGCGUAAAGGGUGCGUAGGUGGUUGGGUAAGUCGGAUGUGAAAGCUCGGAGCUCAACUCCGAAAUGGCAUUGGAAACUACCCUGCUAGAGGAUUGGAGGGGGGACUGGAAUACUUGGUGUAGCAGUGAAAUGCGUAGAUAUCAAGUGGAACACCAGUGGCGAAGGCGAGUCCCUGGACAAUUCCUGACACUGAGGCACGAAAGCUAGGGGAGCAAACAGG